Molecule: ribosomal RNA, 449 nt
Filed under: Nonomuraea sp. XM-11-2
Lineage: Bacteria; Bacillati; Actinomycetota; Actinomycetes; Streptosporangiales; Streptosporangiaceae
Description: partial 16S ribosomal RNA
Rfam family: Bacterial small subunit ribosomal RNA
Source: RNAcentral
AGUCGAGCGGAAAGGCCCUUCGGGGUACUCGAGCGGCGAACGGGUGAGUAACACGUGAGCAACCUGCCCCUGACUCUGGGAUAAGCCCGGGAAACUGGGUCUAAUACCGGAUACGACCGCCUCCGGCAUCGGGUGGUGGUGGAAAGUCUUUUCGGUGGGGGAUGGGCUCGCGGCCUAUCAGCUUGUUGGGGGGGUAGGGGCCUACCAAGGCAACAACGGGUAGCCGGCCUGAAAGGGCAACCGGCCACACUGGGACUGAAACACGGCCCAAACUCCUACGGAAGGCACCAUUGGGAAAUAUUGCGCAAUGGGCGGAAGCCUGACCCACCGACCCCCCGUGGGGAAUGACGGCCUUCGGGUUGUAAACCUCUUUCACCAGGGACAAAUUUGACUUGUACCUGCAAAAAAAGCGCCGGCUAACUACUUGCCACCAGCGCGGGGUUAAUUCA